Molecule: transfer RNA, 73 nt
Filed under: Haemaphysalis longicornis (longhorned tick)
Lineage: Eukaryota; Metazoa; Arthropoda; Arachnida; Ixodida; Ixodidae
Rfam family: tRNA
About the family: Transfer RNA (tRNA) molecules are approximately 80 nucleotides in length. Their secondary structure includes four short double-helical elements and three loops (D, anti-codon, and T loops).
Source: Rfam by way of RNAcentral
CCGCCGGUAGCGCAGUGGUUAUCGCGCCAGACCAGUAAUCUGGAGGUCGUGGGUUCGGAUCCCACCUGGCGGG